UACAGAGGUCCCAAGCGUUGUUCGGAUUCAUUGGGCGUAAAGGGUGCGUAGGCGGCGCGGUAAGUCGGGUGUGAAAUCUCGGAGCUUAACUCCGAAACUGCAUUCGAUACUGCCGUGCUUGAGGACUGGAGAGGAGACUGGAAUUUAUGGUGUAGCGGUGAAAUGCGUAGAGAUCGUAAGGAAGACCAGUGGCGAAGGCGGGUCUCUGGACAGUUCCUGACGCUGAGACACGAAGGCCAGGGGAGCAAACGGG
This 253-nucleotide ribosomal RNA is filed under the name uncultured bacterium. RNAcentral's name for it is "partial 16S ribosomal RNA". It matches the Rfam family "Bacterial small subunit ribosomal RNA", at positions 524 to 776 of the family's 1533-position model. The record is from RNAcentral.